GUCGGGCGUUGUGGCGUGCGCCUGUAAUCCAGUUACUUGGAGGCUUGGGUUGGAGGACGGUGUGAGAUUGGAAGCUCUGUGGCGCUCUGUCCUAUGUCGAUCGGGCGUCCGCGCUAAGCUCGGCGUCAAUAUGGGCAUUCCAGGGGAGCCCGGAGUGGCCAGGUUGUCUAAGAAGAAACGCAUCGGGCGAGGCCCGAAAGGGAGCAGCCAAAAGUUCCCACGUUGAUCAGUAGCGGGAUAGCGCCUGUGAAUAGGCGGAGCGUUGCAGCCCAGUCAAUAUCGCGGGAUUCAAAAACCCUUU
This is a non-coding RNA of Ciona savignyi (Pacific transparent sea squirt), 301 nucleotides long. Lineage: Eukaryota; Metazoa; Chordata; Ascidiacea; Phlebobranchia; Cionidae. The record is from Rfam.